UACGUAGGGGGCAGGCGUUGUCCGGAAUUAUUGGGCGUAAAGCGCGCGCAGGCGGUUUCUUAAGUCUGAUGUGAAAUCUCGUGGCUCAACCAUGAGCUGCCAUUGGAAACUGAGGAACUUGAGUACAGAAGAGGAGAGUGGAAUUCCACGUGUAGCGGUGAAAUGCGUAGAUACGUGGAGGAACACCAGUGGCGAAGGCGACUCUCUGGUCUGUCUCUGACGCUGAGGUGCGAAAGCGUGGGGAGCAAACAGG
This 253-nucleotide unclassified non-coding RNA is filed under the name uncultured Caryophanales bacterium. Its description in RNAcentral is "uncultured Bacillales bacterium contains 16S-23S intergenic spacer region". It matches the Rfam family "Bacterial small subunit ribosomal RNA", at positions 524 to 776 of the family's 1533-position model. The record is from RNAcentral. Lineage: Bacteria; Bacillati; Bacillota; Bacilli; Caryophanales.